UAGGGAAUCUUCGGCAAUGGGGGGAACCCUGACCGAGCAACGCCGCGUGAGUGAAGAAGGUUUUCGGAUCGUAAAGCUCUGUUGUUAAGGAAGAACGAGUGUGAGAAUGGAAAGUUCAUGCUGUGACGGUACUUAACCAGAAAGGGACGGCUAACUACGUGCCAGCAGCCGCUGUAAUACGUAGGUCCCGAGCGUUGUCCGGAUGUAUUGGGCGUAAAGCGAGCGCAGGCGGUUAGAAAAGUCUGAAGUGAAAGGCAGUGGCUCAACCAUUGUAGGCUUUGGAAACUGUUUAACUUGAGUGCAGAAGGGGAGAGUGGAAUUCCAUGUGUAGCGGUGAAAUGCGUAGAUAUAUGGAGGAACACCGGUGGCGAAAGCGGCUCUCUGGUCUGUAACUGACGCUGAGGCUCGAAAGCGUGGGGAGCGAACAGG
Molecule: ribosomal RNA, 429 nt
Filed under: Bacteroidota bacterium
Lineage: Bacteria; Pseudomonadati; Bacteroidota
Description: Bacteroidetes bacterium partial 16S ribosomal RNA
Rfam family: Bacterial small subunit ribosomal RNA
Source: RNAcentral